This 428-nucleotide ribosomal RNA is filed under the name uncultured bacterium. Its description in RNAcentral is "bacterial SSU rRNA". It matches the Rfam family "Bacterial small subunit ribosomal RNA", at positions 355 to 774 of the family's 1533-position model. The record is from RNAcentral.
UGGGGAAUAUUGCGCAAUGGGCGAAAGCCUGACGCAGCGACGCCGCGUGAGGGAUGAAGGUCUUCGGAUCGUAAACCUCUGUCAAGGGGGAAGAAAGGCGCGGGUGUGAAUAAUACCUGUGAUUGACGGUACCCCUAAAGGAAGCACCGGCUAACUCCGUGCCAGCAGCCGCGGUAAUACGGAGGGUGCGAGCGUUGUCCGGAAUCAUUGGGCGUAAAGCGUUCGUAGGCGGUAUAUCAAGUCUGGUGUUAAAGCCCGGGGCUCAACUCCGGUUCAGCAUCGGAUACUGGUAAACUAGAAUGCGGUAGAGGUAAGGGGAAUUCCUGGUGUAGCGGUGAAAUGCGUAGAUAUCAGGAGGAACAUCGGUGGCGAAAGCGCCUUACUGGGCCGUUAUUGACGCUGAGGAACGAAAGCCGGGGGAGCAAAUG